AACGAACGCUGGCGGCAUGCCUAACACAUGCAAGUCGAACGGGAUCCUAGCUUGCUAGGUGAGAGUGGCGGACGGGUGAGUAACACGUGGGAAUCUGCCUUUUGGUUCGGGAUAACCGCGGGAAACUGCGGCUAAUACCGAAUGCCCUCGAGAGAGGAAAGAUUUAUCGCCAGAAGAGGAGCCCGCGUCCGAUUAGGUAGUUGGUGGGGUAAAGGCCUACCAAGCCGACGAUCGGUAGCUGGUCUGAGAGGAUGAUCAGCCACACUGGGACUGAGAUACGGCCCAGACUCCUACGGGAGGCAGCAGUGGGGAAUAUUGGACAAUGGGGGCAACCCUGAUCCAGCAAUGCCGCGUGAGUGAUGAAGGCCUUAGGGUUGUAAAGCUCUUUUGCCAGGGGAAGAUAGAUGACUGUACCUGGAGAAUAACGGCCCCGGCUAACUUCGUGCCAGCAGCCGCGGUAAU
RNAcentral lists this ribosomal RNA (462 nucleotides) under uncultured bacterium. RNAcentral's name for it is "bacterial SSU rRNA". It matches the Rfam family "Bacterial small subunit ribosomal RNA", at positions 29 to 524 of the family's 1533-position model. The record is from RNAcentral.